RNAcentral lists this ribosomal RNA (464 nucleotides) under uncultured soil bacterium. Its description in RNAcentral is "bacterial SSU rRNA". It matches the Rfam family "Bacterial small subunit ribosomal RNA", at positions 35 to 497 of the family's 1533-position model. The record is from RNAcentral.
GCUGGCGGCGUGCUUAACACAUGCAAGUCGAGUGCGCGUUUCCGUAGCAAUACGGAGAUGGCGCACGGCGCACGGGUGCGUAACACGUGGGUAAUCUGCCCUCUGAUGGGGAAUAACCCGCCGAAAGGCGAGCUAAUUCCGCAUAACAUUCCUUGGACUCCGGUUCGAGGAUUCAAAGGCGUAAGUCGUCGGAGGUGGAGCCCGCGCACGAUUAGCUAGUUGGUGAGGUAAUGGCUCACCAAGGCUAUGAUCGUUAGCUGGUCUGAGAGGAUGGCCAGCCACACUGGAACUGAGACACGGUCCAGACUCCUACGGGAGGCAGCAGUGGGGAAUCUUGCACAAUGGGCGAAAGCCUGAUGCAGCGACGCCGCGUGGGGGAUGAAGCUUCUCGGAGUGUAAACCCCUUUCGACCGGGACGAAUACCUCGCAAGAGGGGUGACGGUACCGGUAUAAGAAGCCCCGGC